CCAGACUCCUACGGGAGGCAGCAGUGAGGGAUAUUGGGCAAUGGGGGAAACCCUGACCCAGCGACGCCGCGUGAGGGAAGACGGUCUUCGGAUUGUAAACCUCUGUCUUUGGGGACGAAAAAGGACGGUACCCAAGGAGGAAGCCCCGGCUAACUACGUGCCAGCAGCCGCGGUAAUACGUAGGGGGCAAGCGUUAUCCGGAUUUACUGGGUGUAAAGGGAGCGUAGACGGCUGAGCAAGUCAGAAGUGAAAGCCCGGGGCUCAACCCCGGGACUGCUUUUGAAACUGCGGAGCUGGAGUGCAGGAGAGGUAAGCGGAAUUCCUGGUGUAGCGGUGAAAUGCGUAGAUAUCAGGAGGAACACCAGUGGCGAAGGCGGCUUACUGGACUGUAACUGACGUUGAGGCUCGAAAGCGUGGGGAGCAAACAGGAUUAGAUACCCUAGUA
RNAcentral lists this ribosomal RNA (445 nucleotides) under uncultured bacterium. RNAcentral describes it as "bacterial SSU rRNA". It matches the Rfam family "Bacterial small subunit ribosomal RNA", at positions 331 to 792 of the family's 1533-position model. The record is from RNAcentral.